GACGAACGCUGGCGGCGUGCUUAACACAUGCAAGUCGAACGGAAAGGCCUGCUUUCCCUUGUGGAUUGCGGGUACUCGAGUGGCGAACGGGUGAGUAACACGUGAGUGAUCUGCCCCCAACUUGGGUAUAAGCCUGGGAAACUGGGUCUAAUUCCCGAUAGGACUGCAGGGUGGUGCCUGUGGUGGAAAACGAUUUUCUAGUGGUUGGGGAUGAGCUCGCGGCCUAUCAGCUUGUUGGUGGGGUAAUGGCCUACCAAGGCGGCGACGGGUAGCCGGCCUGAGAGGGUGGACGGCCACAUUGGGACUGAGAUACGGCCCAGACUCCUACGGGCGGCAGCAGUGGGGAAUAUUGCACAAUGGGCGGAAGCCUGACGCAGCGACGCCGCGUGGGGGAUGACGGCCUUCGGGUUGUAAACUCCUUUCGACCGCGAGGAAGCCACCUGGUUGGAAGGGUGGUGACGGUAGUGGUAGAAGAAGCACCGGCUAACUACGUG
RNAcentral lists this ribosomal RNA (494 nucleotides) under uncultured bacterium. Its description in RNAcentral is "partial 16S ribosomal RNA". It matches the Rfam family "Bacterial small subunit ribosomal RNA", at positions 28 to 507 of the family's 1533-position model. The record is from RNAcentral.